CCCAUUAUCAGAGAAACAGUGUGGUGGCCAGCAUUCCUUUGGCACCUCUGAGUUAGCUGCCUACCGAGGACUAUUUUCUCUGCUCCUGUAAUCUCUUAUAUGCUUUUUUCUCCUGUGUCACUCUUCAUGCAUGGGAGAUCUAUACAAAUCAGCACAGCCCUUACGAAGCUGCUGGUGACUCUGAUUAGAAUCACUGAAAAAAAAUAAACGAUCUUUGCCAGGAGCCUUCCCUGAGAAACACCAGUUGAGGAGCAUGUUUGUGUAGAGAGCUUAGAUACACAGGCUUGGAGAAUUAGUCAAGUGGAACCAGUGUCUGUGGAGCCUGAUGUGAAAAAAUAAAGGAUCCCACCCCUGGCUGCUGUUGAUGUUAUGCCUGUAUGCCCAUGGCAACUUACUCUUCAGGAUGUCCACUGUGUCAUGUUGUUCUUGGAUGGCUGGAAUGGAGAAUGCUUUUAUAGCUAUUUGCUUCACUUGAGUGAAGAUGAAAUGGUUCCAGUUGUGUAAAUAGCUCCGGGUGCUCUUCCAGC
Long non-coding RNA from Chelonia mydas (Green sea turtle), 527 nucleotides. RefSeq lists it as uncharacterized. Lineage: Eukaryota; Metazoa; Chordata; Testudines; Cheloniidae. The record is from RefSeq and is a predicted model, not a curated record. The transcript has 3 exons.